Molecule: ribosomal RNA, 1122 nt
Filed under: Triticum aestivum (bread wheat)
Lineage: Eukaryota; Viridiplantae; Streptophyta; Magnoliopsida; Poales; Poaceae
Description: partial small subunit ribosomal RNA
Source: RNAcentral
AUGGAGACGCCGCCCCCAUGGAGGGUCCUCGAGUUCUACAGCGGUAUCGGCGGCAUGCGGUACUCCCUUGCGUCGUCGGGCGUUCGAGCGGAGGUGGUGGAGGCCUUUGACAUCAACGACGUCGCCAACGACGUCUACGAGCACAACUUCGGCCACCGCCCCUGCCAGGGAAACAUUCAAACACUCACUGCUGGUGAUCUAGACAAGUACAAGGCACAUGCAUGGCUCCUUUCUCCUCCAUGUCAACCAUAUACACGGCAAGGACUUCAGAAACAUUCAGCUGAUGCUCGGGCAUUUUCAUUUAUAAAGAUUUUAAACCUUAUGCAAAACAUGAGCUUUCCUCCACAAAUGUUAUUUGUGGAAAAUGUUGUCGGAUUCGAGGUAUCUGAUACACAUGACCAGUUGCUAGCGGUCCUUUCAACUCUCAGUUUCAACACACAAGAAUUCAUCCUAAGCCCCUUGCAGUUUGGUGUCCCAUAUUCUAGACCGCGCUACUUCUGUUUGGCAAAACAGGAAUCUAUGUGUUUUCCAAAUCCAUCAGUCAAUGACAAGCUGCUUAGGACACCUACAUGCCUAACAUUGAACACUACGAGAACUCAGAAUAGCUAUGACCAGAAUGAAGAUGAUCUGGAAGUAGUAUGUAAUCCAAUAAGAAACUUCCUUGAAGCACAGAGUAUUGGAGAUAAGGAAUCUUCAGCCAUCAUCUCUGACUUUAAGGAGGCUGAUGGAUGCACUCCGAUUGAAACUGCUUCACAUGACUACACAGUUCCACUAAGCUUGAUUGAACGGUGGGGAAAUGCUAUGGAUAUUGUAUACCCUGAAUCAAAACGGUGCUGCUGUUUUACUAAAAGUUAUUAUCGCUAUGUGAAGGGCACAGGCUCUGUACUGGUUACAUCUAAAAGCCUCAAACCAGUUCCAAAAGAGAACCUUGAAAUGUCUUCACUGAGUGAGUUGGGUCUACGGUUUUUCACCCCUCGAGAGGUCGCUAAUUUGCAUUCAUUUCCCCCGAGUUUCCGUUUUCCGGAUCAGAUAAGCCUCAGACAACAGUAUGCCAUGCUGGGUAAUAGUCUGAGCAUAGCGGUUGUGGCUCCUUUGUUGUGCUAUCUGUUUGCCGAGACAUAG